CUUUCCCUCUUUCUUUCUGCCUAACACAUGCAAGUCGAACGACAGCACAGUAAGAGCUUGCUCUUACGGGUGGCGAGUGGCGGACGGGUGAGGAAUACAUCGGAAUCUACUUUUUCGUGGGGGAUAACGUAGGGAAACUUACGCUAAUACCGCAUACGACCUACGGGUGAAAGCAGGGGAUCUUCGUACCUUGCGCGAUUGAAUGAGCCGAUGUCGGAUUAGCUAGUUGGCGGGGUAAAGGCCCACCAAGGCGACGAUCCGUAGCUGGUCUGAGAGGAUGAUCAGCCACACUGGAACUGAGACACGGUCCAGACUCCUACGGGAGGCAGCAGUGGGGAAUAUUGGACAAUGGGCGCAAGCCUGAUCCAGCCAUACCGCGUGGGUGAAGAAGGCCUUCGGGUUGUAAAGCCCUUUUGUUGGGAAAGAAAAGCAGCAGGUUAAUACCCCGCUGUUCUGACGGUACCCAAAGAAUAAGCACCGGCUAACUUCGUG
RNAcentral lists this ribosomal RNA (492 nucleotides) under uncultured bacterium. RNAcentral describes it as "partial 16S ribosomal RNA". It matches the Rfam family "Bacterial small subunit ribosomal RNA", at positions 36 to 507 of the family's 1533-position model. The record is from RNAcentral.